GCCAGGUGUGGUGGGGCACACCUGUAAUCCCAGCCACUUGGGAGGCUGAGGCAGGAAGAUAGCGAGUUCAAACCCAGCCUCAG
This 83-nucleotide small RNA is filed under the name Marmota monax (woodchuck). Lineage: Eukaryota; Metazoa; Chordata; Mammalia; Rodentia; Sciuridae. The record is from RNAcentral.